This 303-nucleotide ribosomal RNA is filed under the name uncultured bacterium. RNAcentral's name for it is "partial 16S ribosomal RNA". It matches the Rfam family "Bacterial small subunit ribosomal RNA", at positions 507 to 807 of the family's 1533-position model. The record is from RNAcentral.
AGCAGUAGCCGCGGGAAUACGUAGGUGGCAAGCGUUGUCCGGAAUUAUUGGGCGUAAAGGGCUCGCAGGCGGUUUCUUAAGUCUGAUGUGAAAGCCCCCGGCUCAACCGGGGAGGGUCAUUGGAAACUGAGAAACUUGAGUGCAGAAGAGGAGAGUGGAAUUCCACGUGUAGCGGUGAAAUGCGUAGAGAUGUGGAGGAACACCAGUGGCGAAGGCGACUCUCUGGUCUGUAACUGACGCUGAGGAGCGAAAGCGUGGGGAGCGAACAGGAUUAGAUACCCCCGUAGUCCCUGUCUCUUAUAC